This 75-nucleotide transfer RNA is filed under the name Candidatus Altimarinota bacterium. RNAcentral's name for it is "tRNA-Glu". It matches the Rfam family "tRNA". From Rfam's summary of the family: Transfer RNA (tRNA) molecules are approximately 80 nucleotides in length. Their secondary structure includes four short double-helical elements and three loops (D, anti-codon, and T loops). Further hydrogen bonds mediate the characteristic L-shaped molecular structure. tRNAs have two regions of fundamental functional importance: the anti-codon, which is responsible for specific mRNA codon recognition, and the 3' end, to which the tRNAs corresponding amino acid is attached (by aminoacyl-tRNA synthetases). tRNAs cope with the degeneracy of the genetic code in two manners: having more than one tRNA (with a specific anti-codon) for a particular amino acid; and 'wobble' base-pairing, i.e. permitting non-standard base-pairing at the 3rd anti-codon position. The record is from RNAcentral. Lineage: Bacteria; Candidatus Altimarinota.
GCUCCUAUCGUCUAGUGGUUAGGAUAUGGCCUUCUCAAGGCUAGGACUGGAGUUCAAUUCUCCAUAGGAGUACCA